GGCGUGCUUAACACAUGCAAGUCGAACGGUAAGGCCCUUUCGGGGGUACACGAGUGGCGAACGGGUGAGUAACACGUGGGUGACCUGCCCUGUACUUCGGGAUAAGCCUGGGAAACUGGGUCUAAUACCGGAUAUGACCUUCUCCUGCAUGGGGGUUGGUGGAAAGUUUUUGCGGUACAGGAUGGGCCCGCGGCCUAUCAGCUUGUUGGUGGGGUAAUGGCCUACCAAGGCGACGACGGGUAGCCGGCCUGAGAGGGCGACCGGCCACACUGGGACUGAGACACGGCCCAGACUCCUACGGGAGGCAGCAGUGGGGAAUAUUGCACAAUGGGCGAAAGCCUGAUGCAGCGACGCCGCGUGAGGGAUGACGGCCUUCGGGUUGUAAACCUCUUUCAGUAGGGACGAAGCGCAAGUGACGGUACCUACAGAAGAAGCACCGGCCAACUACGUGCCAGCAGCCGCGGUAAUACGUAGGGUGCGAGCGUUGUCCGGAUUUACUGGGCGUAAAGAGCUCGUAGGCGGUUUGUCACGUCGUCUGUGAAAACCCGAGGCUUAACCUCGGGCCUGCAGGCGAUACGGGCAGACUUGAGUACUGUAGGGGAGACUGGAAUUCCUGGUGUAGCGGUGGAAUGCGCAGAUAUCAGGAGGAACACCGGUGGCGAAGGCGGGUCUCUGGGCAGUAACUGACGCUGAGGAGCGAAAGCGUGGGUAGCGAACAGGAUUAGAUACCCUGGUAGUCCACGCCGUAAACGGUGGGUACUAGGUGUGGGUUUCCUUCCACGGGAUCCGUGCCGUAGCUAACGCAUUAAGUACCCCGCCUGGGGAGUACGGCCGCAAGGCUAAAACUCAAAGGGAAUUGACGGGGGCCCGCACAAGCGGCGGAGCAUGUGGAUUAAUUCGAUGCAACGCGAGGACCCUUACCUGGGUUUGACAUAUAGAGGAUCGCCGGAGAGAUUCGGUUUGCCUUGUGCCUUCUAUACAGGUGGUGCAUGGCUGUCGUCAGCUCGUGUCGUGAGAUGUUGGGUUAAGUCCCGCAACGAGCGCAACCCUUGUCUCAUGUUGCCAGCACGUAAUGGUGGGGACUCGUGAGAGACUGCCGGGGUCAACUCGGAGGAAGGUGGGGAUGACGUCAAGUCAUCAUGCCCCUUAUGUCCAGGGCUUCACACAUGCUACAAUGGCGCGUACAGAGGGCUGCGAUACCGUGAGGUGGAGCGAAUCCCUUAAAGCGCGUCUCAGUUCGGAUUGGGGUCUGCAACUCGACCCCAUGAAGUCGGAGUCGCUAGUAAUCGCAGAUCAGCAACGCUGCGGUGAAUACGUUCCCGGGCCUUGUACACACCGCCCGUCACGUCAUGAAAGUCGGUAACACCCGAAGCCGGUGGCCUAACCCCUUGUGGGAGGGAGCUGUCGAAGGUGGGAUGGC
RNAcentral lists this ribosomal RNA (1420 nucleotides) under Tsukamurella sp. SEC. RNAcentral describes it as "bacterial SSU rRNA". It matches the Rfam family "Bacterial small subunit ribosomal RNA". Lineage: Bacteria; Bacillati; Actinomycetota; Actinomycetes; Mycobacteriales; Tsukamurellaceae. The record is from RNAcentral.